GUCGGUGGUCGAUGUACCCUUGUAAGGCUUGCAUCAAAAGUUGAUGCAAUUAAACAAACCCUUGAGAAUGAUGAACAGAGGGUUGGGGCUGAAAUUGUAAGGAAGUCCUUGAGUUAUCCACUCAAACUGAUUGCAGAAAAUGCUGGCGUUAAUGGCAGCGUAGUUAUUGAGAAGGUCCUUGCCAUUGACAACUCCAGGUAUGGUUACAAUGCCGCUACUGGAAAGUACGAGGAUUUGAUGGCUGCUGGUAUUAUUG
Long non-coding RNA from Hordeum vulgare subsp. vulgare (domesticated barley), 256 nucleotides. RefSeq lists it as uncharacterized. The transcript has 3 exons. The record is from RefSeq and is a predicted model, not a curated record. Lineage: Eukaryota; Viridiplantae; Streptophyta; Magnoliopsida; Poales; Poaceae.